AAGCCUAUCUCAGUUCGGAUUGGAGGCUGAAACUCGCCUCCAUGAAGUUGGAUUCGCUAGUAAUCGCGCAUCAGCCAUGGCGCGGUGAAUACGUUCCCGGGCCUUGUACACACCGCCCGUCAAGCCAUGGGAGUUGGGGGUGCCUGAAGUUCGUGACCGAAAGGAGCGACCUAGGGCAAAACCGAUGACUGGGGCUAAGUCGUAACAAGGUACC
This 214-nucleotide ribosomal RNA is filed under the name uncultured bacterium. RNAcentral describes it as "partial 16S ribosomal RNA". It matches the Rfam family "Bacterial small subunit ribosomal RNA", at positions 1279 to 1500 of the family's 1533-position model. The record is from RNAcentral.